UGGGGAAUUUUGGACAAUGGGGGAAACCCUGAUCCAGCCAUCCCGCGUGUGCGAUGAAGGCCUUCGGGUUGUAAAGCACUUUUGGCAGGAAAGAAACGUCAUGGGUUAAUACCCCGUGAAACUGACGGUACCUGCAGAAUAAGCACCGGCUAACUACGUGCCAGCAGCCGCGGUAAUACGUAGGGUGCAAGCGUUAAUCGGAAUUACUGGGCGUAAAGCGUGCGCAGGCGGUUCGGAAAGAAAGAUGUGAAAUCCCAGAGCUCAACUUUGGAACUGCAUUUUUAACUACCGGGCUAGAGUGUGUCAGAGGGAGGUGGAAUUCCGCGUGUAGCAGUGAACUGCGUAGAUAUGCGGAGGAACACCGAUGGCGAAGGCAGCCUCCUGGGAUAACACUGACGCUCAUGCACGAAAGCGUGGGGAGCAAACAGG
Molecule: ribosomal RNA, 429 nt
Filed under: Acidobacteriota bacterium
Lineage: Bacteria; Pseudomonadati; Acidobacteriota
Description: Acidobacteria bacterium partial 16S ribosomal RNA
Rfam family: Bacterial small subunit ribosomal RNA
Source: RNAcentral